This 890-nucleotide long non-coding RNA is filed under the name Helianthus annuus (common sunflower). RNAcentral describes it as "hypothetical non coding rna". Lineage: Eukaryota; Viridiplantae; Streptophyta; Magnoliopsida; Asterales; Asteraceae. The record is from RNAcentral.
GAUGCAACAUAAAGGGAUAAUAUACCAUAACCUGGUAGAAAAUAAAAAUUACAAAUUAACAAAAUCGAAGUUGAAUUUUGAUCUUGUCAUCAAACCUAUUGUUGCUUGAUCACACAGAUCACAGAAUUUCUAAUUUGCAAGACUUGUUAUGAAGUCAAAUGUUAUUAAAUAAACUUUUUUACAGGUUCAGAAUUAUAAACAGUGAUAAAAUACCGUACUGGCUCAUGAUCUUAGGUAAUAACCUAGUAGAAUAUAAAAUUUGAAGAUAAACAAAUCAGAGUUGAGUUUUGAUCUUUUGUAAAAUCAAACCUGUUGUUGCUUGAUCAUAUAAUUCAAAAACAACCUUCAGAUCACAUAGAAUUUUUAACUUGCAAGCCUUGCUAUGAAGCCAAAUGCUAUCAAUAAACCCUUAUACAUUCUAAUACAAACAAACACCAUUUCAAAACUGAUUCAAACUUCCAAAGGUCCUCCGUAUAUCUGAGUAUCUGACCACAAGUACAAGCAUUCAACACUAGACAAAUUGCACACAGAAAUAAUAAUAGCGACUUAAUAACAAAGCAUAUCCUCAACGAUCUACACACGCGUCAUGUACGGCAAUAAACGGAGUUUAAUAAACGAAACUUACCGAAUGCAAUUGUGGCAGCGGUGGCAGAUAGACGGAAGAGGCGAACGGGAACAGUGGUACAAAGCUUGAGAGCAGUGGCAGGAUCGUCGGAUUUAGCAACGGUAGCGGCACCAGCACCGGCGCCCAAAGCUAGGGCACCAAAUGCGAGCUUCGAUUUAGCGCCCCAAAUAGAUCGGGCGACCACCAUAUUUGUUGGUUACCAGAAGAGUGUUUUUCGGCAACAAGGGGAAAAACAAAUGUGGCGAUGGCGGUAAUCUCCACGUAA